GAUGAACGCUGGCGGCGUGCCUAAUACAUGCAAGUCGAGCGAACAGACGAGGAGCUUGCUCCUCUGACGUUAGCGGCGGACGGGUGAGUAACACGUGGAUAACCUACCUAUAAGACUGGGAUAACUUCGGGAAAACGGAGCUAAUACCGAAUAAUAUAUUGAACCGCAUGGUUCAAUAGUGAAAGACGGUUUUGCUGUCACUUCUAUAUGGAUCCGCGCCGCAUUAGCUAGUUGGUAAGGUAACGGCUUACCAAGGCAACGAUGCGAUACCGACCUGAGAGGGUGGUCGGCCCCCCUGGACUGGAGCUACGGUCCAGACUACUACGGGAGGCAGCAGUAGGGUAUCGUCCACUAUGGGAGAAAGCGUGACGGAGCACCGCCGCGUGAGUGAUGAAGUUCUGCGGAUCGGAGAACUCUGCUAUUAGGGAAGAACAAAUGUGUAAGUAACUAUGCACGUCUUGACGGUACCUAAUCAGAAAGCCACGGCUAACUACGUG
This 497-nucleotide ribosomal RNA is filed under the name uncultured bacterium. Its description in RNAcentral is "partial 16S ribosomal RNA". It matches the Rfam family "Bacterial small subunit ribosomal RNA", at positions 28 to 507 of the family's 1533-position model. The record is from RNAcentral.